AAAUGAUGGUUGGGGUGCCCGAAGAGAAAUUCGGGCUGAGAUUAUACCCACUGAACCUGAUCCGGGUAAUGCCGGCGCUAGGGAACCAUGUGUACGAAAGA
Molecule: non-coding RNA, 101 nt
Filed under: Desulfatibacillum alkenivorans
Lineage: Bacteria; Pseudomonadati; Thermodesulfobacteriota; Desulfobacteria; Desulfobacterales; Desulfatibacillaceae
Also listed under: 1 other name
Description: TPP sequence
Rfam family: TPP riboswitch aptamer (THI element)
About the family: Vitamin B(1) in its active form thiamin pyrophosphate (TPP) is an essential coenzyme that is synthesised by coupling of pyrimidine and thiazole moieties in bacteria.
Source: RNAcentral